Molecule: ribosomal RNA, 194 nt
Filed under: Amanita sp. 'cyclops'
Lineage: Eukaryota; Fungi; Basidiomycota; Agaricomycetes; Agaricales; Amanitaceae
Description: partial 28S ribosomal RNA
Rfam family: Eukaryotic large subunit ribosomal RNA
Source: RNAcentral
UUGACCUCAAAUCAGGUAGGACUACCCGCUGAACUUAAGCAUAUCAAUAAGCGGAGGAAAAGAAACUAACAAGGAUUCCCCUAGUAACUGCGAGUGAAGCGGGAAAAGCUCAAAUUUGAAAUCUGGCAGUCUUUUUUUUCCUUCCUUUGGCUGUCCGAGUUGUAAUCUAGAGAAGUGCUUACCUGCACUGGACC